This is a long non-coding RNA of Triticum aestivum (bread wheat), 4753 nucleotides long. RefSeq lists it as uncharacterized. The record is from RefSeq and is a predicted model, not a curated record. The transcript has 11 exons. Lineage: Eukaryota; Viridiplantae; Streptophyta; Magnoliopsida; Poales; Poaceae.
GAAGGCAGCUGUCGGAACGUGCGCAGGAUAGAUUUUCCCCACACAAUUACCUCGAUACAGCCAGCGGCGCAUCUCGCCGCCGAAGAAGUCCGCAGUUCAUCAACGCAGUCCGCAGUUCCAUCUCUCUGCCACCUCCCACCCGCCUUCGCCUUGUGCGCUAUCGAGCUGCUACACUUCGGCACUUCCUCUGAUAAUGGUGUCCAGCCUGAAUGGGAUGUCUGUUGGAUAUUCGCUUGCCGACAAUACCAUGGAGUCCCCUACGAGGUCAGAGGGUCCCUCUUGCGUCGGGUUUGUGUGAUAUGAUUCUGUGUAUAUUUCCUGUGCACAUUUCGUCCAUGGUAGUUUCAUGUAUACUUCUCUUAUCGCUUGUCGAAAAUCAGAAAUGGAAUAUAGAGAUAUGAUGUAUAUACUCUUUUGAUCCUGCACUAUCGAGUAGGAUUACUGUUGGUUGGUUCCUCAUUUAUUUCAGCUAUACUAUGCACUUCUUUUGCCCACAAGGUGUCUAUUGUUCCAUCUUAUCCACAAAGUUUUUAAUAAAACUGUAAACAUCCUAAUUUCCUUGUUAAUCUUUUGAGAAACGCAGUCCAUUUUCUUGGAUUUUAGAUAGCUGCAGAUGGUAUUGGUGUCAGACUGUCAGUAAGGUGUGGCUUCUGUUUCAAAUAUUUCAGCAAUUACCAGACUCCCCCAAAAAAUUAAGAUUUGUGGAUGGUUGCUUCAGUGUGAUUGCUAUUAAAUUUUAGCUAGCGGGAUGCCAUUUCCAUCCAUUCAUCUCUUCCUCAAGCUUGUCUGAAUGCUAUGAUACACAUUAUGGCCUCUUUGUGACGAAAACGAAGAACAAGGUGGCCUCUUUGUUUCACUGAUAUAGUUGACCUCUUUUGCAAAUGCAAGAAGAUGAAGCAAAUCUGUAGAUUAUUGCAACUAUCAGAAAUGGGCAAGCGCUUGCGGCAGGGCAAGGACACCUCCAGGACAUAUUGAAAAGCCCUGGCAGUACUUCAAGUUGUGCAAAUCACUUCAGCCAUGUGAUGUACUCCCUCCGUAAAGAAAUAUAAGAGCGUUUAGAUCACUAAAAUAGUGAUCUAAACACUUUAAUAUUUGUUUGCAGAGGGAGUAUUUAUCUGCUGGUUGUAAAUCCAAAACAAUAAGAUGUGCAUCAAGGGAGGUUGCUCGCGCGUGCCACGUCGAAUGCGUGGGUUGGGCAAGGAAUAAGUAAGAGGGAAAAAAAGAAAGAAAGGAAAAGUUGUCGAGCGAAACCCUCACACCGCACGUCCUCCACCUCCCUUCGCCUCCAGCGCCCCUCCUCCCUCUCCAGCGCCACCACAGCCGCCUGGGCGACGCUCCCACCCACCACCCAUGGUUGAGGUCGGCGAAGCGGCCCAUCGCGCGGCGCCUGGGGACGUCGCCUCCCUCCGCCGCCAGCAGCGGCGACCGGCUAACAUGCGGUCGUCGCCGCCAAAACCGGAUGGCGUGCUGUCCGGCGAGGGGCCCGACCUGCCGCGCGGCAUCGCCUCCUCCACAUCCGCCCGCGGAUCGAGCUCCACAACCUCCAUCCCGACCUGCCUUUCCCUCCUCUCGCUUGUCAGAAAGGAGUGCAGGCCGCUGUUGCCCCACACGAGGUCAUCCUCCUCUUUGGUUUUGCUGAUUCCGAUGGCGUUGGCUCGACCUACAGUUUAUACCGGAACUUAAUCUGAAGGUCAGGACUUCAUGCCCUUUUCUCUUGAGCUGAAACGCAUGCAAGCAUGGCUGUUGACCGAGCCCCCUAAUUCAACUAUUCAGGUACAGAUUGAUUGGGUCAUGUCUGUAGUUUUUUUCAGUGCUGCAGGUUCAUGUUCUUGGGGAAAAAUCGUUGUCUAUUUCCUAUAUUGGUGAUGCGGGUGAACUGAUUUGGGUAUUAUAAUGAGCUUUUUCUCUUUGGUAAUUUCAUCAUCCACGAAUAUGUCGAUGUUAAAGCAUUUGGUCAUGAUGGAUCAUUUUACUGGUUCUCAGUUCAACUCAAGAUGGCUCAGAUAGGACUAAGUUUGAAUAUUCAUGUGUUGGAUAGGGGUUGGGGUUGGUCUCCUGCACAAGAGGUGAAGUUCAUUUAUGUAAAUUUGUGUCCCGUGGUCAUAUAUUGGCCUGUAGAAUUUAUCAGAUAUGUGAAGGUGCAAAUUGGAGCAGAAGAUUCGUCUAUGAUGCAGCAGCUCAAAGCUGAAGAUUUCGAAGGAUGUCAUAUCUGAGCAGAUAGCUGAUCUGGUUGGGGAUGCUGGUAAUACGGUUGUUGUUAUAAAGUCUAAAAGCUACAUGGGAAGAUCUCAGCAAAUACUUUAAGCCGCAAAGUAUCAAAGGGGAUUUCACCCUCUUGCCAUGCGCUGAGCCGCGGUGGGAGAAAGUGGGUGGCAGCGAGCCAGUGGAUUGGUCAUUGGAUAACUGCUUGUUGUAUUUCACAAUGAGGACAUUUGUUUGGGGGGUGUAUCCUAGAGUUAAGGAUGCUUGGAUGGAAGUGGUGGCCUCACAAAGGCACCCUAAUGUGCGUAGGCAAGAUCGAAAUGCACAAAUACCUGCUCAGGUAUUUUCCAGUUAUUUUAACUUCUUGCAAUAUGUUUGCUGACACUUACUCGAUUCAGAUACAGUAUGUUGGCUGAAUCUUACUCCGUUCAGAUAUCUCUCUUCUUUGGCUCUUUGCUUUGGCUCGGAUAUGUCUUUGCAAAAGAAUUUUUUGCCACCAAUUAAUUUGCAAGGGCACAUAGUAUUUGUAGCAGCGUACAAAAACUCAAUUCACCUCAUGCUUUUGUAGAAAUGGAUUGUCGCACGAAGUUGUCUCAGUUAGUAGACUAUAUUUGUUAACGUAUAGUUAUUUUUUGUGAGAAGUAAACAUAUAGUUUUUUGACGGCAGUAUACUUAUAUAAUAUUCUUAUUGUUGAGAUACUAAAAACAUUUUGGUUAAUUAUUACUUACUGUGACACUUCAGUAAGUCUUUUGAGUAGGCAAAAUCUCUCAAUUUAUAUUGCCAUAAUAGGCGAUGUCUCAUUCAUGGCAUCAAAUACAGCUUAUUUUAGAAUGGUACAUAUGUAAUGUUUGGCUUCCUUAUAUCAUGUAUGCUUUCCGUUUGCUGUAAACUAAUAGUUAGGUUGUAGUGUUUUCAUUCGCUCUUGGAAGUCAUAUCACAAGCACAUCCGUAGCUAUUGGCCUUGAACAUUUCACCUUCCAGGUAACUCGGAUGCUCACUACCACUCAGAAUCAGUGACUUGCCUUCUUACUAUGAUUUUUUUAGAAAACCUUCUUGUACUUGAUAAUGCGUCUUUUUAUGACACAUACGACUGUUUCUCCAGCACUGAUUUCCAAGCAACAAAAGUUGUGCCAAUGUAUGAUAAAUUUAUAUUUCUAGGCUACUCUCAUGUUAAUGUUGCUGUUUAUACAACUUAAUUAACAUGGGUCAUCGUCAUGUGUAAAUCUUCUGCUUUGAAUUCUCAUUUUGAUUUUCCACAAACUAUUUCUUUCCGGUAAAUUUAUAUUUCUUAUUGUAUUUACUAAAUGUCGAUUUGGGUAACCAUGCAUCAUACAAUUCAGAUUUUAGUUGCAGUCACUCUCAUCAUCAACGCUCAACAAUGGCCUCUUCUUCCGGUGCCCGAAGCAGCCGCAUACCCAUAUGCCUCGUGCUGAUUCUCCUGAUCGCCUGCGAGAAGUCAGCCAUCAUGCCGGUCGGCCAGCAAUGUGAAGGACCAGAUGAUCGUUGAUAAAUACGCGCUGUUCUGAUCAGAACUAUUGAUUUAUUGCAGUACGAUGUUGCCUCUUCAGUACAUCUGUGUUAGCUCUUUCUGUUACUAUCCAUUCUGUAAGCUCUAUUUGACAGGAAAAAGCCACUGAAGUUAGCGUUGCGUGCCUGAAAGUCUACAAGUAGUAGUCUGACAAGAGGGCGUUUUGAAAGAUGUUUGCUUGUUGUAGCUAUACCAGUUAUACCUCUACGGUAGGUAGCACUAGGGCAGCCCGGUGCAUGUAGCUCCCGCUUGCGCAGGGUCGGGGAAGGGUCCGACCAUUUUGGGUCUAUAGUACGCAGCCUUUCCCUACAUUUCUGUAAGAGGCUGUUUCCAGGACUUGAACCCGUGACCUCAUGGUCACAAGGCAGCAGCUUUACCACUGCGCCAAGGCUCCCCUUCUCUACGGUAGGUAGCACUGUGUUUUAUUAUUUUUGUGGAUUUGGGGAGGAUUUUUAGCUCACUCUUUUUUUGUACCAAAUUAUCUGCAUUUGGCAGUGCUUUCAUAUUUCCCUUCUUUGGCUCUGAUGCAAUUAAACUUUGUUAUUGUAUGUUGAAAUUUCAGGUGAUGACCAAUCAAGAGGUUGUUGAUGAGAUCAACACCAGAGGGGCGGACAGGCAGCUGCGAAGCAUCUGACGGAGCAACUGGUGAAUAGGAGGAGCGAAGACAACAUCUCUUGCGUCGCUGUAAACGUCCGCUGCUAUGAGAGCUUCAGUCAGUGAAUAGGAGGAGCAAAGACAACAACUGCUUCGUCAUCGUAAACUUCCACUCUUGGCCGAGCUUCAACCUGCUAGCCCCUUAUGCGUACAAUUAGUUAUAUGCCAGAUUGGUUUUACAAUUUUUUCUGUAGUUAUUCAUACGAUGUAGAGUUUAAUAUGGUUGGGGAUAAUCCACCACCCAAUGGGAUUAAGGUCUCUAAAAUAUUGUUGUUUGUUUGGUUAUCAGGUGUAAAUUCUAUUGCAAGUUCCUUAUAUGUGCAUGUUCAUCAAUCUGAAAAAAAGGAGGUGAAAAGGUCGCUCGUCAA